RNAcentral lists this ribosomal RNA (257 nucleotides) under uncultured prokaryote. RNAcentral's name for it is "partial 16S ribosomal RNA". It matches the Rfam family "Bacterial small subunit ribosomal RNA", at positions 524 to 780 of the family's 1533-position model. The record is from RNAcentral.
UACGGAGGAUGCGAGCGUUAUCCGGAUUUAUUGGGUUUAAAGGGUGCGUAGGCGGCCGAGUAAGUCAGCGGUGAAAUUUUGCAGCUUAACUGUAACAGUGCCGUUGAUACUGGGGAGCUAGGAUUUGGUUGCUGUGGGUGGAAUGUGUGGUGUAGCGGUGAAAUGCUUAGAGAUCACACAGAAUAUCGAUUGCGAAGGCAGCUCACAAAGCCAAGAUUGACGCUGAGGCACGAAAGUGUGGGGAUCAAACAGGAUUA